This 462-nucleotide ribosomal RNA is filed under the name uncultured bacterium. Its description in RNAcentral is "partial 16S ribosomal RNA". It matches the Rfam family "Bacterial small subunit ribosomal RNA", at positions 28 to 507 of the family's 1533-position model. The record is from RNAcentral.
GACGAACGCUGGCGGCGUGCUUAACACAUGCCAGUCGAACGGAAAGGCCCUUCGGGGUACUCGAGUGGCGAACGGGUGAGUAACACGUGGGUGAUCUGCCCUGCACUUUGGGAUAAGCCUGGGAAACUGGGUCUAAUACCGAAUAGGACCGCGCGCUUCAUGGUGUGUGGUGGAAAGCUUUUGCGGUGUGGGAUGGGCCCGCGGCCUAUCAGCUUGUUGGUGGGGUAAUGGCCUACCAAGGCGACGACGGGUAGCCGGCCUGAGAGGGUGACCGGCCACACUGGGACUGAGAGACGGCCCAGACUCCUACGGGAGGCAGCAGUGGGGAAUAUUGCACAAUGGGCGCAAGCCUGAUGCAGCGACGCCGCGUGAGGGAUGACGGCCUUCGGGUUGUAAACCUCUUUCACCAGGGACGAAGCGCAAGUGACGGUACCUGGAGAAGAAGCACCGGCCAACUACGUG